GAUGAAGAACGUAGCGAAAUGCGAUAAGUAAUGCGAAUUGCAGAAUCCGUGAGUCAUCGAAUCUUUGAACGCACAUUGCGCCCUUUGGUAUUCCGAAGGGCAUGUCUGUUCGAGCGUCAUUAUCACCACUCAAGCCCGGCUUGCUGUUGGUGGCAGCGCAGCCGGUCAACCGGCUACGCUCCACCCAAAGAUAAUGACGGCGUCUGCGAGGACUCCUGUACAUUGAGCUUUCGGGCACGUACAUGGCUAGAAGUCCAGGCGCCGGUCGACGUCCUCCGGGACACUUUUUACCAAGGUUGACCUCGGAUCAGGUAGGGAUACCCGCUGAACUUAAGCAUAUCAAUAAGCGGAGGA
Molecule: unclassified non-coding RNA, 354 nt
Filed under: soil metagenome
Description: partial contains 5.8S ribosomal RNA, internal transcribed spacer 2, and large subunit ribosomal RNA
Rfam family: 5.8S ribosomal RNA (bases 1-119)
Source: RNAcentral